UUGUUUUCUUUCAUAUCAUAUAAAUCUUUCUCCUUUUAAUAAAGAUUUCCAUGAAGAAAAACAUGCAAAAAAUUUUAGGGUGCUGUUUACACAGGGU
This 97-nucleotide small nuclear RNA is filed under the name Echinops telfairi (small Madagascar hedgehog). Its description in RNAcentral is "U5 spliceosomal RNA (ENSETEG00000025617.1)". It matches the Rfam family "U5 spliceosomal RNA". Rfam says of the family: U5 RNA is a component of both types of known spliceosome. The precise function of this molecule is unknown, though it is known that the 5' loop is required for splice site selection and p220 binding, and that both the 3' stem-loop and the Sm site are important for Sm protein binding and cap methylation. The record is from RNAcentral. Lineage: Eukaryota; Metazoa; Chordata; Mammalia; Afrosoricida; Tenrecidae.